RNAcentral lists this ribosomal RNA (209 nucleotides) under Campylobacter ornithocola. RNAcentral describes it as "partial 16S ribosomal RNA". It matches the Rfam family "Bacterial small subunit ribosomal RNA", at positions 329 to 554 of the family's 1533-position model. Lineage: Bacteria; Pseudomonadati; Campylobacterota; Epsilonproteobacteria; Campylobacterales; Campylobacteraceae. The record is from RNAcentral.
GUCCAGACUCCUACGGGAGGCAGCAGUAGGGAAUAUUGCGCAAUGGUGGAAACCCUGACGCAGCAACGCCGCGUGUAGGAUGACACUUUUCGGAGCGUAAACUCAUUUUCUUAGGGAAGAAUUCUGACGGUACCUAAGGAAUAAGCACCGGCUAAUUCCGUGACAGGAGCCGCGGUAAUACGGAGGGUGCAAGCGUUACUCGGAAUCAC